Molecule: ribosomal RNA, 3312 nt
Filed under: Triticum aestivum (bread wheat)
Lineage: Eukaryota; Viridiplantae; Streptophyta; Magnoliopsida; Poales; Poaceae
Description: partial small subunit ribosomal RNA
Source: RNAcentral
AUGAGCGCCCUAGGCUCGACGGAGAUGCGCGCUUGCCAACUCCCGGCGGCGGUGGAGUUGGAGCUGGCGCAGCUCGAGAGGCGGCACGACCAGCGAGCGGACCCUCUGGCGCAGCGCCGGCUCGCGGAGCUCGGCGAGGCGGCGGCCGUGCGGGUGCUGCAGAGGAUCGGGCGGUCCAGGCAGCCGGUGCAGAAUCUGUCCGCCUACAUCCAGUGGGUGAUGAAGCACGACUCAGAGGAGCGCGCCGCCGCCGGCGGCUCCGUGCCGUCACAGCGAGGAGGUGAUGCUGUAUUGGGGACGGUGAAUCAUCACAUUCACAUUUCCUUGGAUCUCCCAAUCCAUGCCACGAUCAAUGCCGGGAGCCCUGCCCGAUCGACGCAUUACAGUUUGCAGCUGCCAGGAAGCCCUGGCCAUGGCCCUGUGUCUGGGUUGCAGCAUCAGGUGGGGACUGAGAGCCUGGUCCGGCAUGCCAUUGCUUCGCCUACAACAACGGUGUCCUCCCCAAGCCCUGUGAGGAACAUUGUAAAAUCUCUGCAUCAGUUGGCACUGGGAGGCCUACCGAGAACCGUAGGGGCUGAACUCGCUACACCGCCAACACCGGUGCACAUGAUGCCAGCAGACCCUCUUGUCAAUGCAAACACAUCAAAGGCAACAGCGAACCUGCACAUGACCAUGAUGGCGCUUGGGGAGCUAGAGUUCGACAAGGUUUUCUUGAUAUAUGUGUACCUUGGCCGCAACAAGACAGAAGAUGUGUGUGAAUUACGAGAAGAUUAUAUUAGGUCACUGCCUUCACUUUCAAUGAAAGAUUCUGAACCAGAAAUUUGGCACAGAUUUGGUCACAAGUUUGUAGCCGAAUCAGAUAGAAGGAAGAACCUUGACUGGGGGGAUUCAAGUAAGGCAAGAGUGUAUCAUUGCUGUUUGGAGAUAGCAGAUGGCUCCGUGGUUACCAUCUUUAAGGGGCCAUAUCUUGAAACCUCGAGGAACAAGCUGCAGAAAGUUGUUGGCGAUGACAACAUUCUUGUCGUGAAGUUCUCGGAUAUACCUGGGCAAAGAAACUUUGGCAAUGACGUCGGUGCCUACUAUAGUGUUUACCAUAAGGUUGCUGAAGAUGGCAUCAGCUUGGGUUUGCGUCGUUACCGUUAUCUCAUUCACAAAGACGGGGGCAAGGAGGGGAAACUUAAAGAGGGAACCGAGAAAUUUUCUUCCGGUGUUAAAUGCUACUUUCUACGCACUGAAUCUGGGUGGAACAGAGAUGAUGCUUAUAUCCUCUCCAAUAAAACAAUUGAUGAGGCCCGCAAACUUUUUAUGCACGUUCACACUGUUCCCACCUUGGCAAAAUAUUUGGCCAGGUUUGCUUUGGUAUUGUCCAAAGCUACAACACUACUAGAUGCCAACGACCUAUCAAAGGUUAAUGUUAUAAUUAUCGAGGACAUACCUUGCAAGGAUAGAAACGGAAACAUUGUUCUCAGUCAUGGGGAGCCUUUGAUCCACACUGAUGGGACUGGCCUAAUCUCAGAAGAUAUAGCCAAUAAAUGCCCGACGAGUGUCGUCAAGGGAAACUUUUCGAGGACACCUGACCUGCAAGUGUUGUCCUCCGAUCCAGGACUAGAGGGCAGGGGGCUCUCUUCGGAGCCUCUACUUUUGCAGAUCCGUAUGUUCUAUAAUGGACUUGCUGUAAAGGGAACCCUUCUUGUUGAUAGAAGGCUUCUUCCUGGAACUAUUAAGAUACGGCAGUCAAUGAUCAAAACAGCAUCUGAUCCAAAUCUACGGGACGAGCAGUCCUUUAACUCACUGGAAAUAGUUAGUACAAGCAAAUAUCCAAAAAGAGCCUUUACAUCAAGGUUUUUAAUCGCACUGCUUCACUAUGGAGGGGUUCCAGCAGAUUAUUUUUUGGAGCUUGUAAGGAAGGCACUAAAAGAUGUUGAGAAAGCCUGUCAUAAAGCUAGUUAUUCUCUCGAAGUUGCAUAUAACCAUGCCAACUUGGAUGAUUCCAUGUCGGCACGAAUGAUUCUUUCUGGAAUUCAACCUGAAGAUGAUGCAUAUUUGCAAUACCAGCUGGCUUUUAUGACUCGAGAAGAAAGAGAAGGAAUCAAAUUAGGAAGGAUUCCUAUUGAGGAGAGUUACUAUCUGAUGGGCACAUCAGACCCUACAGGGACACUAAAGCCCAAUGAAGUUUGUGUGAUACACGAGAAUGGACAAAUUUCUGGAGAUGUUCUUGUCUAUACAAAUCCUGGGUUACAUUUUGGCGAUAUACAUGUGUUAACUGCAACUCCAAUUCCUAAUUUGGAGAAGGAGAUUGUAGGAUUUUCCAAAUAUGUUAUAAUAUUUCCUAUUUCUGGUCCACGGUCUUUGGCUGACGAGAUGGCUAACAGCGACUUCGACGGUGAUAUGUACUUUGUAUCAAGAAAUCCCCAGUUACUUGAGCACUUCAGACCAUCUGAAGCAUGGGUUCCGAGAAACCCACCAAAAAAAGUCGAACAAAAGAAUCCUCAGCAUUAUGAUGGACCCCAGCUGGAAAGCCUGUUGUUCAAAGAAUUUUUGAAAAGUAGAUUUGUACCCAGUUAUACGAUAGGUACAGCUGCAGAUUGUUGGCUGGUAUACAUGGAUCAACUUUUGGCAGGUCAAGUUCAAGAAAACAAACGCGGAAUGGAAAUAAAGGAUAAGACGCUUGACUUAGUUGACAUAUACUAUGAGUCUCUGGAUGCCCCCAAGACAGGGAUCAAGGUCGAUGUCCCCGAUGCACUGAGGGUCAAAAAAUAUCCCCACUAUAUGGAAAAAGGAGAUGAUCGGUCCUACCAUUCAACGUCCGUGCUCGGACAAAUCUAUGACGAAGCAAAAGCAUUGUCAGAGCAGUCUAAAGAUAUUCCUCCAAUCAAUAUAUCGCCCCUGGCGUGCUUUACAGAGGUGGCCGUGGGGGUAACCAAAGAGCGCAAGGAGGAGUGGAAAAGGCUUUACGACGAAUAUCGAGGAGAGAGCACAGCCCUCUGCGAUAAGAAGUACAAUAAGAAGUACAGCAAAGAAGAGAGAGACGCGGGGUUUACGAAGCUUUACCAGAAGUAUAGGCGGAUGCUGUACGACGCGGAGGAGUUCGACGACAGCCUGAGGAACUACAACGAGGUGUUUGGCGAGGCCUGCGCCAUCUACCAGAUCGUCUACGAGUAUGCGCGGAGACAGAACAAGGCUACAUUGUGCGGCUUUGCGUGGAAGGUCGCCGGCCGCGCACUGUGCCAUCUGCACGCGAUCAAGCGUGGCGGCGAGACGGUGCUCUGCUCGCAGUCCGUCCUCCGGGACGCCUUCAAGAAGAACCGUUGA